RNAcentral lists this transfer RNA (72 nucleotides) under Bos taurus (domestic cattle). It matches the Rfam family "tRNA". From Rfam's summary of the family: Transfer RNA (tRNA) molecules are approximately 80 nucleotides in length. Their secondary structure includes four short double-helical elements and three loops (D, anti-codon, and T loops). The record is from Rfam by way of RNAcentral. Lineage: Eukaryota; Metazoa; Chordata; Mammalia; Artiodactyla; Bovidae. RNAcentral also lists the same sequence under 3 other names.
UCCCUGGUGGCUCAGUGGUAAAGAAUCUGCCUGCCAAUGCAGGAGACACAGGUUUGAUCCCUGUUCUGGGAA